UACGUAGGGGGCAAGCGUUGUCCGGAAUUAUUGGGCGUAAAGGGUGCGUAGGCGGCCUUUCAAGUUGGAUGUGAAAUCCCCGUGCUUAACAUGGGAAUUGCAUUCAAAACUGGAGGGCUUGAGUGUGGAAGAGGUAAGUGGAAUUCCCAGUGUAGCGGUGAAAUGCGUAGAUAUUGGGAGGAACACCAGUGGCGAAGGCGACUUACUGGGCCACAACUGACGCUGAUGCACGAAAGCGUGGGGAGCAAACAGGAUUAGAUACCCUGGUAGUCCACGCUGUAAACUAUGGAUACUAGGUGUAGGGGGUAACACCCCCCCUGUGCCGCAGCUAACGCAAUAAGUAUCCCGCCUGGGGAGUACGGUCGCAAGAUUGAA
This 375-nucleotide ribosomal RNA is filed under the name uncultured bacterium. RNAcentral's name for it is "bacterial SSU rRNA". It matches the Rfam family "Bacterial small subunit ribosomal RNA", at positions 524 to 898 of the family's 1533-position model. The record is from RNAcentral.